This is a long non-coding RNA of Helianthus annuus (common sunflower), 1811 nucleotides long. RefSeq lists it as uncharacterized. NCBI's taxonomy places the organism in Eukaryota, Viridiplantae, Streptophyta, Magnoliopsida, Asterales, Asteraceae. The record is from RefSeq and is a predicted model, not a curated record. The transcript is spliced from 3 exons.
UUUUUUUUUUUUUUUUCAAAAUAAGUGUGUUGUUUUUUAUUAUUUUAUUUCUUUGAAGCUUACAAGUUGCUUAUUAUGCCAUCUUUCUUUUUACUGAAAUACGUAUUUAUUAUUGGUUUAUUUGAACCAACAAAUCGUUUGGUUGUGUUCUUUUUACUAUUGCCAUAAAAAUGGAUUUAUUUUGCUGUAAUUUCAGGAAGAUUUAAUUGUGGGUAAGUUUCUUGAACAAUCUUCUUCCUAUUCAUGCUUAUGAUGGCUGAUUGUACUUAAUUUUUUACUGAAUGUAUUCGUUAUGCAAGCACGAUCGGGGAGAUGAUGAACGACUCCUGCUUCCUGUUGCAAUGAGAUUUUUGGUUGUCGCCAUAGUCACAACUCACAAUGAGUCUUCGGUAUUAAUCUUAUCUAAAUCUUUUCUCUACUUUUUGUUAAUUUUUAUAUUUUCAUCUUAUUAAUAUGUUAUAGUUUUUUUAACAAGUAUAUAGGUUUUGACCUAAUUAUAUCCAAUUGAAAUUAGUAUAGUUUAUUAGAUCUACAUUUUUUAUGGUAUGGGCCUAACCAGCCAAGCUGGUAGGAUUAACAAACCUUGCAGAUGAAAGUAAGAGUGCCUAAUUUUAGUAUAUAAUAUUUCUUAAUUAUUUUAUAUUGAUGUAACUAUCAAACUAAAUUAUAUUGUCUGUUCGUGUUAGGCCAGAGAAAGAUCGAUUAAGUGUACCGAUUCUGAUCAUCAGUAGAUUACAACAGUUACGAUCAUGUUUGUUUGAGCAACCCAUCAUCAAAAUCAAGUUAGCUCCCUCAUCAAUCAUUACAGUUGAGUGAGUUGACUAGAAACGUCCAGUCUACAUCAGCAACACCCCUUAGCAGCAGAUCAGCAGCCCGCAUAAGAUCAGCAGGUUUAUAGUAGUGGCCAGCAGUACAAUUUGAUGUUUUGUUCGACUCAACCGUCUUUUGCAGGUUUGAUGCACACAGAGCACUACUGAUUGUCAACAGUUUCCAACUGCGGGUUUGUCUUCUCUGUAUGUCCAGCUGGUGGAGUACAAUCCAGAUAAACUGCAUGAGUUUGUUCUUUGGACCAAGUGAGGUAAAUCCACAUACCCCAUCAGGUCAAGGUAUGUGAUUUUAAAAGUGCUAAAGUUUGGUUUGUAGGUAAUUAUUCAUAACCAUUUAAUUUUGUGUCAUAAAUGUCAUAACUUAUGAUUUCAGCAACUUCUAUUGUUUUUUAUUUAUUUCCCCUUCCCUCAAAGAGAGAAAGAGAGAGAGAGAGAGAGAGAGAGAGAGAGAGAGAUGGUGUUUAUACCGAUCAUGGGCUGAGGUAGAAAGAAAGAGAAGAGGGGGCUUAGGUAUAGAGAAAAAAGAGGGGGUGUUGAUCUAGAUAUACUGAGAUAUAAAUAACCUUUCAUUAUAUAAGAACAAUACAUAAUUAGGCUUCUUUAAAAGUAGCAUAUAUUCUACUAAUAAUUGAGAGAAGAAAGAAUACCUGAUUGACAAUGCUGCAGGAGCUGGUAUCGCAUUUGCUGCAGUAGCUGGUGUGAUGGACAUGCUGCAGGAGCUGGUAUCGCAUUAACAAUCGAAGCUUUUCAAACCGUUACCUAUCUUAAGGUUGAUAAGGUACAAGUAACCAGGGAAGCAAAAGUUAUUGGCGAUGGUGAUGACAACGAUGGAUGGGCACCAAAAUUGGAGCAUGACAUGUGUUCGAUGCAACAAGAGAGAUGCUUUCGAUAUGGGCUAUAUGGUACAUAACGCUUGGACCGAUUGCAGGUGAGACGAUGUUAGAGAUGACAUGAUUGAAGGAAGAGGCUAAAACGCCGGUUGAG